This 72-nucleotide transfer RNA is filed under the name Camelus bactrianus (Bactrian camel). It matches the Rfam family "tRNA". From Rfam's summary of the family: Transfer RNA (tRNA) molecules are approximately 80 nucleotides in length. Their secondary structure includes four short double-helical elements and three loops (D, anti-codon, and T loops). Lineage: Eukaryota; Metazoa; Chordata; Mammalia; Artiodactyla; Camelidae. The record is from Rfam by way of RNAcentral. RNAcentral also lists the same sequence under 3 other names.
GAGGGUAUAGCUCAGUGGUAGAAUGCAUGCUUAGGAUGCACAAGGUCCUGAGUUUAAUCCCCAGUACCUCCA